Molecule: small nuclear RNA, 108 nt
Filed under: Mustela putorius furo (domestic ferret)
Lineage: Eukaryota; Metazoa; Chordata; Mammalia; Carnivora; Mustelidae
Source: RNAcentral
GUGCUUGCUUCAGCAGCACACAUACUAAAAAUUGGAACAAUACAGAGAAGAUUUGCAUGGCCCCUGCGCAAGGAUGACAUGCAAAUUCAUGAAGUGUUCCAUAUUAAA